GACGAACGCUGGCGGCGUGCCUAAUACAUGCAAGUAGAACGCUGAAGCGAGGAGCUUACUCUUCUUGGAUGAGUUGCGAACGGGUGAGUAACGCGUAGGUAACCUGCCUUGUAGCGGGGGAUAACUAUUGGAAACGAUAGCUAAUACCGCAUAACAAUGGAUGACACAUGUCAUUUAUUUGAAUGGGGCAAUUGCUCCACUACAAGAUGGACCUGCGUUGUAUUAGCUAGUAGGUGAGGUAAUGGCUCACCUAGGCGACGAUACAUAGCCGACCUGAGAGGGUGAUCGGCCACACUGGGACUGAGACACGGCCCAGACUCCUAAGGGAGGCAGCAGUAGGGAAUCUUCGGCAAUGGGGGCAAACCUGACCGAGCAACGCCGCGGGAGUGAAGAAGGUUUUCGGAUCGUAAAGCUCUGUUGUAAGUCAAGAACGGGUGUGAGAGUGGAAAGUUCACACUGUGACGGUAGCCUACCAGAAAGGGACGGCUAACUACGUG
RNAcentral lists this ribosomal RNA (497 nucleotides) under uncultured bacterium. RNAcentral's name for it is "partial 16S ribosomal RNA". It matches the Rfam family "Bacterial small subunit ribosomal RNA", at positions 28 to 507 of the family's 1533-position model. The record is from RNAcentral.